This is a long non-coding RNA of Salvia splendens (bonfire salvia), 922 nucleotides long. RefSeq lists it as uncharacterized. NCBI's taxonomy places the organism in Eukaryota, Viridiplantae, Streptophyta, Magnoliopsida, Lamiales, Lamiaceae. The transcript has 4 exons. The record is from RefSeq and is a predicted model, not a curated record.
CCCUCCCUCUCUCCCAAGAACAAUAAUAUAGUGACAUAGCAAAUCAUAGCGAUACCCUUCAGAAUUCAUUGUUUAUCGGAAUCGUAUUAUGUUGAAUUCAUCAUUUGUAGAUAAGGGAUUCAAUGAUUGCUUGAUUGUGGACGGAAAUUACAGUUGAUAAGAUAUUGAGGGAAGGGCAAAAAAAAAAGGAAAGAUGGGUAAUUUCAAGCAGGCGCUAAGAAGCAGCGCCCGAGAGCAGAAGACAAUCUGCUGCAAAAGACCAAAUCCGUGGCCUUUGGUGACCACAAGGGUCACCAUGAGGAGUCCGGCCAUAAGUCAAACUCCACAGUUUUGAUGAAGAAGCCGAAGAUAUGAUUAAGAAGUUGAAGCAUGCAGAAGGUUGCUGGGUAAAAUUAUGUGGUCUUCUUCAGCAAAAUCCACAUGUGUGAUGUGCCUUUCAUGGGGAAGAAACUAAGUUGUAUAUGGUAUUCUAGAUGUGCAAACAGUUCCUGGGAACUUCCAUAUCUCAGACCUCAGUCCAUGGAUUGAACAUUUUUGUCGCAAGCUCCGAUUUAUGAAGGUUCUUCUCAUGUAUUGACGAGUCAUAUAUAAUUCAUGACUUGUCCUUUGGGCCAAAUAUCCUGGUAUAGAGAACAGAACCUACUUGAUGGCACGUCCAGAAUUUUGCGUGGAGCAAGCGGAACAUUCAAGUGAAAGAAGAGACACCAUCUGGAGUCUGCUCACAACGCAUCACUGUUUUCAAGAAUGUUGGUAGUCUACAAGGUUUUUUUUCUUUCUGGCUCAAGGCCAAUGUGGUUUUUGAUGUUUCGAGAGCGAGUUCGGAUGCACCCAUAGGUUAGUUUGAUUCAAUCACUAAGCAACUAUUCUUAUAGCAUUUUGUUGUAAUACUAGAAUAUUCAUAUUCAAGUUUUCCAGUAAUUAA